RNAcentral lists this long non-coding RNA (6093 nucleotides) under Musa acuminata (dwarf banana). RNAcentral's name for it is "long non-coding RNA (MACU_LNC003445)". Lineage: Eukaryota; Viridiplantae; Streptophyta; Magnoliopsida; Zingiberales; Musaceae. The record is from RNAcentral.
UAUCAAACGGUCAGAAAUUACGAUCUCUGUUUAGCAGAAUCUGUAGGCUCAUUUGAAACAAAAGUUUAGGCAGGCAAACUUACUCCGAAUUCUUAAAUUAAGCUAUCGAAAGAAAGGUUUAUGAGUCUAUAUUCUGAUCAAAUAAGUUUUGUCCAAAUCAGAGGUCAAUACAUGAAGUUAUAACCAUAAAAAGAUAGAAAGGUCAGAAUCUCGGAAGUUGCAUAGAUUCGAAUAGUUACGUCUAAACAGGAGAUAUAUCAAAUGCAAGGUUAGAACAAUUCAAAGUUCCUCAUAUUCAAAGCAAAUGUAGAGGUAAAAUUACAGUAAGGAAAGAUCAGGAUACUUGCAAUAGGAAAGAUUAGAAAGCUUGCAAUAGGAAGGAUCGGAACACUUGCAAUAAAAAGGAUCGAAACACUUGCAAUAGGAAGGAUCGGAAUACUUGCAAUAAGAAAAAAUAGAACAAUUACAGGAGAAACGAUCAGGAAACUUGCCUUUCAAAGGUUUUGAUCCGAAGAUCCAAAGAAGGUGUCAGCCCAAAUCCUUCUACUUUUCCUCCAUGUCCUCUCCCUAUUUCAUUUUCUAUAUGUAUUCUCUUUUUCCUCCACAACUGCAGCUCAUGCAGAACAUAGAGGCAUAGUCACCUGCUCUCUCUUAGUCUCAUUACUUCGUUUUCUUUGCCAAACGCAGUUGCCACAGCCACCGCCGCUGCUACUGCCACAGUCGCAGUCCUUUCCACCGCACUGCCUUCUUCCUCCCCUUCUUUCGCAGACACAACUGCUGCAUACGCAGCCGCUGCCGCCGCAGCCGCAACCCCAUCUGCAGCCCCUUUUUCCCCCUUUCCUUUCUUUUCUUUCCCAGCUGCAACUGCCGCAGUCGCAGUCACAGGCAUUGCCGCGGCCACCACAACCGCAGCAUCUUCUUCCUCCCUUGCUUAUUUUCCUCUCCUUCUUCUCUUCCAGCUGCAGCUGCCAUCGCUGCAGCCGCAGCCCCUUCUUCCCCUUCUCUUCUUCCUCUCCUUCCCUUCUUCCUUCCUCUUCCUCUUUCCCUGCCACAGCUGCAGCCGCAGCUUCUUCUUUCCCUUCUCCUCUUCCUUCUCCUUCCUUUCUUCUUCUUCUCUUCUUCAUCACCUUCUCUUCCUCUCCUUCUCUUCCAGCUGCAGCUGCCACCGCCGCAACCACAGCUCCUCCUUUUCCUUCUCUUCUUCUCCUCUUCUUCUUCCCGCCUCCUCCCCGGCAUCACACACACCCUCUCAUAUGUUUCCUCUGCAGGAAACAGAGGUAUCACAACCUCUUCUCCUGCUUCCUCUUCCUCUUCUCUUCCUCUUCUUCUUCUUCUCCUCUUCGAAUGCCCCACACCUCUUCUCUGUUUCCACCUACAGGAAACAAAGAUGCUGUUGCCACCUCUCGCUCCUCUCCCUCUUCCCUCUCUUUUCCCUCUUCUUCUCCUUCUCUUCUUCUCCUCUUCCCUUUUCCUCCCCAACGUCACACGCCUCCUCGCUACAGCCUUGCCGCAGCUAUCCUCCAAUCUUCUUCUUCUUCUUCUUCUCCCCCUUCUUCCUCUCUUCUUUUCCGUCUUCUUCUUCUUUUCUUCUCUUCUCCCUCUUCUUCUCUUCCUCUUCUCCCCACGCCCCACAGCUCCUCUCUCUGUUUCGGGAACAGAGAGCGUGGGAGGCGGUCGGAUAAAACCGAAAUUUUUGGUUUUCUUUAUUUUUUUCUUUUUGCAACUUAACAGUUUAGUCCUUGAAAUUUCUAUAUUCACAUAUAGGUCCUCCAAUUUACAUAUAAAUCUUUAUUAAUAAUUUUUAAAAGUGAGGGAUAUUACACUCUCCCCCCAUUAAAAGAAAAUUUAGUCCUCUAAAUUGAUCAUAGCUCAAUCGAUGAAAAGAUGAGGAUUAUGAUUUCUUUAUUUCCUCCUCGUGCUCUCAAAUAGUUUCAUCAAAAUAAUACAAUUACACAAUUAUCCAAGAUUGACCGAAAUAUUCUCCUCCUUGAUCCUCAAUAGAUGGUAACCCGACCAUCAAUCAAUCUUUGAAAAUACCUGUGCACCCUGCAGUUAAUCAAACAAGUCGUCACUUUAGAGAAUACUCGUUUUUGAUGGUCACCUGUUUCAAUUGUCUAUAAUCAAUACAAAGCCUCAAUGUUCCAUCCAUCUUUUUAACUAACACCGGAGCACCCCAUGAUGAAAUAUUAAGCCAAAUAAAAUCCAUAUUUAAUAGUCCUUCUAGUUGCUUUUCUUAUUCCACUUACUCAAAUGAUGUCAUUCUGUAGAGAGGCUUAGAUAUUGGGAUUGUCCCAAGGACCAAAUCAAAAGCAAAGUCACGUUUGAAGGUAAUCCAAGUAAGUCAUCCUGGGAUACAUUAGGCAAGGAGAUAAAUCAUGUCCAAUACUCUUAAAAUAAAAGAUCGGCUGAUCAAAUAUGCAAAAAGUGAUCAUCUGUUAUAUAACCAUCCAUACUGGUAUGAUAAGAAGAUAGUCAAUCCAUACCAAGUAUAAUAUCAAAACUCCAAAUCUCUAGGAGAACUAAAUCAGCAAAAAGUUCAUGUUCUCCAAUAAAAUUAGACAAGAGGACCAGAUUCAAGUCCGUUAUCAAAUAAUCUUCAAUGAUUGUUUUUACAUAUAUCACAUAAUGCAGUGGUCUAGGUUGAAUGCCCAAGUGAUAAGCAAAAUAUUCCGAAUCAAAUCGUAGAUAGGACCUUUGGUCAAACAAAUAUUUGCAUUCUUUCAUAAACAUGCAUAAUACCUUCGACUACUAAUUCAGAAGUUUUAGAAUCAUAUUCAGUGAUAGCAUACACUCUGACAUAGCCUGAUGAUUUAAGAGACAGUGACUCUUUCUUCUGGUUCAAAGGGCAGUCUUUUAUUUUAUGAUCCAACUUUCUACAAAUAAAAUAGACUCCAGUCACCCGGAAACAUAAAUUUGUUUCAUAAUUUAACUUAUAAUUCACACAUGAUUGAGUCUUUUGUGGUGACUUCCCAUUUCACAUCCAAAUGUCUUGACCCUCUUGUUAUUACUUUCUGAUUCAUUUUCAAUCAUAUUUUUAUUGGUAAACUUGUCCUUAUCAUUCUUGCCACUGAUCUCCAAAAAUUCUUUUCAUUGUUGCCAUUAAUGAUCAGCCUCUACUUCCAAUAUAUGGUGGCAAAAGAAAUCUUUCGAUCAUCAAAAUAAUUUUGUACAUCAAAUAUCUUCUCUGUUUACAUCAUCCAUUUUUCUACCACCAACGAAAUUAGGUUCACCACGCUUUCGCUGUGCCACUCUGAUUUGAUAUCCCCGAUCAACCCUUUCAUCCCACUUAAUUAAUCAGAAACAAUUGAAAUAUGAGAACCAAAUUACCUCAUCAUCCUUGAUUCCUAAAAUGCAUCAAAGAAAAUUUCCACCAAUCACUAUAGUUUAUUAGACCUCAAUAUAUUUUGCACGUCAACAUAUCAAAUAUUUCAGUAAUCCUCAAAUCAUGCUCUGAUACCACCUCUGUCACGCCCCUCAAAAAAUAUCCAUGAUAUUUAAAAUUUUCAUCACAAACCAAUCAAGGAUCCAAACUAACAUUUGAGGACACUGAAAAAUAUUCUAUCAAAUUCACAUCUAUAACAUUUGUGCAGUUUAUAAUCAUAUAUCACAUCACUCGAUAAUUCACAUUUAUGGCAACCCAAGCUAAACUUGACAAACAUAAACAACAUUUAUAAAUCCAUAAGCUAAAUAAAUUAUACAAUCAGAACUCCAAUUAUUCACCAUAAGUUCAUAUCAUCAUAAACUAGACUUAACAUUCCGAAAUUCUAAAUAAGAGAGAUCUUCUAACUCUUUUACAUAGUAUCUCCAUUUCGAUUCAUCGACAACAUUUCAUUACAUACAAAAUAUGCUUAUACAACAAUAACAUAAUAACCAACAAGACUUGCCCAUAAUUCUGAAUAGCUCUCCACUACCUCAGCCCAAUUCAAAACAUCUCAAAGAGUGACAACUUAACCUGAUAGAUUUAUAUAACAAUGGAGUGAGCUAAAAACAGCUCAACAAGCAACAAAGCAUAUUCAGAACAAAAAGAACGGUUUCAAAUAAGUAAGAUAUCAUAAUGCAAGGCAGAAUAUAAGAAUUCUCGAGGAUACCAUCUCAUUAGAUACAAAUCAUAUGUGUCAUGUCAUUCAAAACAUAUUUGGUUCAUAACAAAUGGAGCAUAGAGUAAUUGGAGUAUAUCAAUAGCGUAGGAAAUGUUCCGAAGCAUAUCAACGACAUAUGGAACAUUUCGGAGCAUGCCAAUAACAGUUGAAACAUUUCGGAGCAUAUCAACAACGAAUGAAACAUUUCGGAGCAUAUCAAAAACAAAUGAAACGUUUCGGAGCUUAUCAAUGGCGUAUGAAAUGUUCCGGAGCAUAUCAACGGCGUAUGGAACAUUUCGAAGCAUGCCAAUAACAUAUGAAACAUUUCGGAGCAUAUCAAUAACGAAUGAAACGUUUUGGAGCAUAUCAAUAACAAAUGAAACGUUUCGGAGCUUAUCAAUGGCGUAUGAAAUGUUUCGGAGCAUAUCAACGGCGUAUGGAACAUUUCAAAGCAUAUCAACAAUGAAUGAAACAUUUCAGAGCAUAUAAAUAACAAAUGAAACGUUUCGGAGCUUAUUAGUGGCGUAUGAAAUGUUCCAGAGCAUAUCAACGGCGUAUGGAACAUUUCAGAGCAUAUCAAUGACAAAUACCAAACAGAAGCUCAAACGUCGUAUUUGAUGUUACAUUCAUAUCAUUCUUAUCCAAAGCAUGUACAGAAACACAUAACCAACGCUCUGGAUACCAUAUCAAAUAUACAGAAGGUGUAGUCGGACCACAGACAGAAUAUGAUUCAUCCAUUUCUGAAUGACCACCAGACAGAAGUCUCCAACGUUUGGGAGCUCCAUCAACCCAUGUCUAGGCGAAGUUAGAGGGGGCCGGCAGAGCAUCGCAGGCUCUAUGCAUAACUCCCUUUACCAUUUCUGGCAAAGGUUCACAUUAUCCCACAACACCAGAGUACAAAAGGGCAGUAUGAACAAUAAAUAGCAUAUAUCGGAAGCACACACGGAACAACAAAAUGUACAUGUGCCUUUACGAGUCAAUACGAUGCAAGCAACAAUCUCUCAUAAAUGUAUUUAGAUUUGAAAGGAAAUGAAAGCAAAAGUAUACACGGAUUCCAAGCAAUCAUAUAUAGCUCAAAUCAAAUAAGAAGGUUAGAUGAAUUCAAUAUCCAAAGGAAUGAAACUAGAAUAGGCACAUAUCGAAAACAAAUACGGAAAAAUGGGAUAUACAUAUGCCUAUAUGAGUCAAUACGAUAUAGCAUAAACGUUACACAACAGUUUUCAAGAAUGCAAUAAUUUGAAGGACAAGAGCAUACAAGAAUUCAAAGUAGUAAUAUAAAGCUCAAUUGAAUAAGAAAGCUAAAGGAUAUCAAUUUCCAAAGGAAUGAAACCAGAAUAUUAGAAAUCGACCAAAGCUCGAUUUUUGGCAGAAUACAAGAGGCAUAUUGAACAAAUGAUUCAAACUAUCAAUCAUGCUCCAAUUUACUCAGAAAUAUAUCAUUAGAUUAUACUUUCAGAUAAGACAAGCUUCAUAUAAAUGGAACUAUCUAAUAGAGAUAGUUACAAAUAAUUUGGUAAACAUGGGUCGGAGAACAAAAUCUCUGUUUGGCAGAAUUCAUAAGGUCAGAUUCAACAGAUAACUGGGCAGGUGUUUGGAAUCUAAUUCUUUCAAUUCAUAUAUCAAAUGAAAGAUCUACGAGUCUAGUUUCUAAUGAAAUCAGUUUUGAACAAAUCAAAGUUUCCAACAUCGACUUAUAGGCCGCUCGGUAUCAAAAGGUCAGAAAUUGCAAUAUCUAUUUGGCAGAAUCUGCAGGCUCAUUUGAAACAUAAGUUUAGGUAGGCAUACUUACUCCGAAUUCUUAAAUUAAGCUAUCGAAAGAUAGAUUUAUGAGUCUAUAUUCUGAUCAAGUAAGUUUUGUCCAAAUCAGAGGUCAAUACAUGAAGUUAUAACCAUAAAAAGGUAGAAAGGUCAGAAUCUCGGAAGUUGCAUAGAUUCGAAUAGUUACGUCUAAACAGGAGAUAUAUCAAAUGCAAGGUUAGAACAAUUCAAAGUUCCUCAUAUUCAAAGCAAAUGU